RNAcentral lists this ribosomal RNA (271 nucleotides) under uncultured prokaryote. RNAcentral describes it as "partial 16S ribosomal RNA". It matches the Rfam family "Bacterial small subunit ribosomal RNA", at positions 524 to 794 of the family's 1533-position model. The record is from RNAcentral.
UACGUAGGUGGCAAGCGUUGUCCGGAUUUACUGGGCGUAAAGGGAGCGUAGGCGGACUUUUAAGUGAGAUGUGAAAUACCCGGGCUCAACUUGGGUGCUGCAUUUCAAACUGGAAGUCUAGGGUGCAGGAGAGGAGAAUGGAAUUCCUAGUGUAGCGGUGAAAUGCGUAGAGAUUAGGAGGAACACCAGUAGCGAAGGCGGCUCUCUGGACUGUAACUGACGCUGAGGCACGAAAGCGUGGGGAGCAAACAGGAUUAGAUACCCUGGUAGU